UCCUUUCUAGACAAGUGGCUAGCAUGUGGUGCUCUCAUCGCCGCUGUCGGGGUUCAAUUCCCGGUCAGGGAA
This is a non-coding RNA of Pangasianodon gigas (Mekong giant catfish), 72 nucleotides long. The record is from the annotation of a GenBank genome assembly. Lineage: Eukaryota; Metazoa; Chordata; Actinopteri; Siluriformes; Pangasiidae.